Molecule: transfer RNA, 72 nt
Organism: Lysobacter antibioticus
Lineage: Bacteria; Pseudomonadati; Pseudomonadota; Gammaproteobacteria; Lysobacterales; Lysobacteraceae
Rfam family: tRNA
About the family: Transfer RNA (tRNA) molecules are approximately 80 nucleotides in length. Their secondary structure includes four short double-helical elements and three loops (D, anti-codon, and T loops).
Source: Rfam
GCGGGAGUAGUUCAAUGGUUAGAGCCUCAGCCUUCCAAGCUGAUAAUGCGGGUUCGAAUCCCGUCUCCCGCU